Molecule: small nuclear RNA, 62 nt
Filed under: Octodon degus (degu)
Lineage: Eukaryota; Metazoa; Chordata; Mammalia; Rodentia; Octodontidae
Source: RNAcentral
UAAGAUUAACAUGGCCCCUGUGCAAGGAUGACACCCAAAGUCAUGAAGCAUUUCAUAUUGUU